CAGUAGCCGCGGUAAUACGUAGGGUGCGAGCGUUAAUCGGAAUUACUGGGCGUAAAGGGCUCGCAGGCGGUUUCUUAAGUCUGAUGUGAAAGCCCCCGGCUCAACCGGGGAGGGUCAUUGGAAACUGGGAAACUUGAGUGCAGAAGAGGAGAGUGGAAUUCCACGUGUAGCGGUGAAAUGCGUAGAGAUGUGGAGGAACACCAGUGGCGAAGGCGACUCUCUGGUCUGUAACUGACGCUGAGGAGCGAAAGCGUGGGGAGCGAACAGGAUUAGAUACCCCUGUAGUCCCUGUCUCUUAUAC
RNAcentral lists this ribosomal RNA (301 nucleotides) under uncultured bacterium. Its description in RNAcentral is "partial 16S ribosomal RNA". It matches the Rfam family "Bacterial small subunit ribosomal RNA", at positions 509 to 807 of the family's 1533-position model. The record is from RNAcentral.